Molecule: non-coding RNA, 32 nt
Filed under: Rattus norvegicus (Norway rat)
Lineage: Eukaryota; Metazoa; Chordata; Mammalia; Rodentia; Muridae
Source: RNAcentral
UAGAUCGGAUGCCUUGACACACCGGAUUGUCC